Molecule: ribosomal RNA, 492 nt
Filed under: uncultured bacterium
Lineage: Bacteria
Description: partial 16S ribosomal RNA
Rfam family: Bacterial small subunit ribosomal RNA
Source: RNAcentral
AGUGAACGCUGGCGGUAGGCCUAACACAUGCAAGUCGAACGGCAGCACAGUAAGAGCUUGCUCUUACGGGUGGCGAGUGGCGGACGGGUGAGGAAUACAUCGGAAUCUACUUUUUCGUGGGGGAUAACGUAGGGAAACUUACGCUAAUACCGCAUACGACCUACGGGUGAAAGCAGGGGAUCUUCGGACCUUGCGCGAUUGAAUGAGCCGAUGUCGGAUUAGCUAGUUGGCGGGGUAAAGGCCCACCAAGGCGACGAUCCGUAGCUGGUCUGAGAGGAUGAUCAGCCACACUGGAACUGAGACACGGUCCAGACUCCUACGGGAGGCAGCAGUGGGGAAUAUUGGACAAUGGGCGCAAGCCUGAUCCAGCCAUACCGCGCGGGUGAAGAAGGCUUUCGGGUUGUAAAGCCCUUUUGUUGGGAAAGAAAAGCAGCAGGUUAAUACCCCGCUGUUCUGACGGUACCCAAAGAAUAAGCACCGGCUAACUUCGUG